Molecule: ribosomal RNA, 431 nt
Filed under: Arthrobacter tumbae
Lineage: Bacteria; Bacillati; Actinomycetota; Actinomycetes; Micrococcales; Micrococcaceae
Description: bacterial SSU rRNA
Rfam family: Bacterial small subunit ribosomal RNA
Source: RNAcentral
GGCUCAGGAUGAACGCUGGCGGCGUGCUUAACACAUGCAAGUCGAACGAUGAUCUCCAGCUUGCUGGGGGGAUUAGUGGCGAACGGGUGAGUAACACGUGAGUAACCUGCCCUUGACUCUGGGAUAAGCCUGGGAAACUGGGUCUAAUACUGGAUACGACCUUCCAUCGCAUGGUGGUUGGUGGAAAGCUUUUGUGGUUUUGGAUGGACUCGCGGCCUAUCAGCUUGUUGGUGGGGUAAUGGCCUACCAAGGCGACGACGGGUAGCCGGCCUGAGAGGGUGGACGGCCACACUGGGACUGAGACACGGCCCAGACUCCUACGGGAGGCAGCAGUGGGGAAUAUUGCACAAUGGGCGCAAGCCUGAUGCAGCGACGCCGCGUGAGGGAUGAAGGCCUUCGGGUUGUAAACCUCUUUCAGUAGGGAAGAAGCG